Molecule: transfer RNA, 69 nt
Filed under: Narke japonica (Japanese sleeper ray)
Lineage: Eukaryota; Metazoa; Chordata; Chondrichthyes; Torpediniformes; Narkidae
Description: tRNA-Phe
Rfam family: tRNA
About the family: Transfer RNA (tRNA) molecules are approximately 80 nucleotides in length. Their secondary structure includes four short double-helical elements and three loops (D, anti-codon, and T loops).
Source: RNAcentral
GCUAGUGUAGCUUAACGUAAAGCAUGGCACUGAAGAUGCUAAUAUAAAAUUUAAAAUCUUUCACAAGCA